Molecule: long non-coding RNA, 2550 nt
Organism: Mustela erminea (ermine)
Lineage: Eukaryota; Metazoa; Chordata; Mammalia; Carnivora; Mustelidae
Exons: 3
Source: RefSeq, a predicted model, not a curated record
AAUUCUUCCGGGGAGGUGAAUGGGACCCGGUGCUCUGAACCAGCUGGGUUGUCAAGAGGUCAAGAGGGACAGCCUCCUGGGCCCUGCCCGCCUCCCAGAUGGGGGUCUGGGGUUUAUUAUGCAGAUUGGACUAGGCCUCUCCCCGUGACCAUAGAAACCCAACCAGUUCUCUUGCAACAAAGCUCUGAGGAAGGGUUACUUAAGUCUGGAGCGGCGGGACCGGCCGCAGAACGCACCCUCCUCAGAACAGCCCAGAGCCCUGGGCCCUCUGCUCCCCAGGGACAUGGGAUGCCACACGAGCAAGAGCACCAAGGUGGUGGGGGAGUCCCAGAAGCCCGGAGAACAGCCCGAGGGAGAAGAGCCAAAUCCGGAGGCAGGCGCUGAGGCGGCAGAUGGCAAAGACAUCUCACUGAAGGAUGGGGGCCCUGCGCCCAAGAGCUGAGCUGCUUUCCUCUGGAGUCAGUCCGGACCCUCUCUGCAUUCCGGGAACCGCCUUUGGCCAAGGACGCCCGAGACAAGCCCAGUCCUGAGAACCUCCAAGCAGAAGGAGGGAGAAAUCUCUGCUUCCAGCACGUACCCUCCUCAGGCUUUGCUCUUUGGAGCCGUGAGGAAUCCUAUUUCCCUGGGCUUCCGUGGAGAGGACAGAAGGAGCCUUCACCCGACGUCGUGGGACUUGCGCGCAGCUUCUGGAGAAGGGCGAGCCCCGUGGUGGGCUCUUCUGGCUCCGGGGGAGAACCGGGUGCUGCUGAGCUGUGACUGUCCAGGGACACCCCCCUCCCCUCCCCCAGCCGCCUGCCUCACCUUCUGACCUCCCCUAACGCCCACUGGGCCGUGCGGGUGUCGGUUUGUUCUCUUCCUCUCCUUUUUCCCAAGAGCUCGCCGAAGAGCCAACAUCCCUAGCAGGGACGUUUUCCUUUGGCUCGCUCCACACUGUCGAAAUGUCAGAAACGGAAUGGGACUCUUUUGAGAAGACAAGACAACCAGGCUGAGGAGAGGGAAAAGAAGGAAGGACAAGAGGGCUUUGUGUGGGAAGAAGCUGCUCAGAGGGCACCCUCAGGACUCCUGGAAAAAGUUCUCAGUGGCUGGUGAGGCUUUGGGGCUGGGUGGUGCCCGUCUCACUGGUGACCGAGAGGCGGGACUCAAACUCUGCUUCUCACCAGAUCAAACAAAGGAGGGAGGCUUCAGGUCCUUUGACCGUCAGACAGUGGUUUGUUCUGAUUCCUCCUGGGAUGGGGCAAAAUGCUUGUUUCAUUAAAUUCAAGAUCUCUGAGGGCUUUUAAAAACAAGAUGCAUUAUCCGCCUUCGGCUGGACGGGCUUGCUGCGUUUUGCCAGGAAGUUCAUCCUUAAAGGAAAAAAAAAAAAGGAUCCAGUUUCUUUUUAAAGACAUUUCAGUGAUUCCAUGGGGGCCCAGUACCACUCAUCUGUGUCUCCCUCUGAGGCUCGAGUGCCUGCGGAAAGUGGUUAGAAUUAUGUGCUCUCAAACAUAACUUGAACCUUUUCAAAGACAGGUCUGCACAGACUCUGCCCGUCACUUGAACGCCAGGGCUCUGGGCCACUUCCCAAACAGCUGGAAGGGGAGGGGUUUGUUUUCUAGCCAACUCACCUAUCUACAUAGGCUUCCGCCUAUCCUUUCUUCCUUCCAGCCAUCCAGGCAUCUAUCUAUUUCUUUCUAUCCAUCCAUCCAUCCAUCCAUCCAUCCAUCCAUCCAAACAUCCGUCCAUCCAUCUCUCCCUUGGAUUUUUCAUCUCUCCGAGGCAAUAAUUUUCCAAUUCAAUCCAAAUUCACUUAUUAAACACUUAAUUGAGUUUCUACUCUUCUCUAUCACUUCUUUCUUUCUUUUUCACUCACUCGCUCACUCCGCAGUGACGGGGAGGCUGUUCUAUGGCAAACUCCUCCGUGUUAAUAAAAGGUUGAAGUGUGUCUUUCUGGAAGCACAGCCGGGAACAAGGGUGGUCCAGAGAAAUCCUUCCAGCCCAGGGGAGGCCUGAGUUGAAGCUUCAGGACUAAGUAGGCAUCAGCUAGGGAAAGAGGAUGGGUGUUUCAGGAGAAGGGGAAGGUGUGACCGAGCUGCAUGGGGUGUGUUGUGCAGUGUUACGGGAGCCUGACCAGCAUGGCACGUAGUUAGGAAGGUGAUGCUUGGAAAGUAAAAAGGAUCAGCUCAUGGAGGGCCUUGUCUUUUAUACCAAGAGGCUAAGAGUUCAUCCGAAUACUGCUGAGUAUGCUGAUUUUCACUGAAGGACUUCAGGCAGAGGAACGAAGCUAGAACAUCAAUUGUUCAUGACUGCUUGGUAUCCUGCCUUCUGGUAACAAAGCCUAUCUUUUCCCCUGGCAGGACCCUUUUCUUUCCAUUCUCAGUAUACAUGAUCCCAUUCUCAGGCUCCAUGCCGAGCACUGCUUGUACCUGGUCAAAGUGAUUUGUUCAGAGGAGGUCAUCUGGCUCAAACCAGUCCAGACUUUUUGUUGUGUGAGGGUCUAUUUAGCCAGAGCGAUGCCAUGUGGUUAAACAGUGAUUUUGUUGUUUAUGCAGGAAAACUUAAACUGUCCCUGCC